CCUACGGGAGGCAGCAGUGAGGAAUAUUGGACAAUGGGCGCAAGCCUGAUCCAGCCAUGCCGCGUGCAGGAUGACGGUCCUAUGGAUUGUAAACUGCUUUUAUACGAGAAGAAACACUCCUUCGUGAAGGAAUUUGACGGUAUCGUAAGAAUAAGGAUCGGCUAACUCCGUGCCAGCAGCCGCGGUAAU
This 189-nucleotide ribosomal RNA is filed under the name uncultured bacterium. RNAcentral describes it as "partial 16S ribosomal RNA". It matches the Rfam family "Bacterial small subunit ribosomal RNA", at positions 338 to 524 of the family's 1533-position model. The record is from RNAcentral.